Molecule: non-coding RNA, 104 nt
Filed under: Clostridium felsineum
Lineage: Bacteria; Bacillati; Bacillota; Clostridia; Eubacteriales; Clostridiaceae
Description: Clostridium roseum TPP sequence
Rfam family: TPP riboswitch aptamer (THI element)
About the family: Vitamin B(1) in its active form thiamin pyrophosphate (TPP) is an essential coenzyme that is synthesised by coupling of pyrimidine and thiazole moieties in bacteria.
Source: RNAcentral
AAUUAGUGCUAGGGGUGCCUUUUGGCUGAGAGAAGUUAUAAAAACUUUAACCCUUUGAACCUGAUUCGGUUAAUUCUGACGAAGGAAAGCUUUUAUAACGUUAA